GCGACCCCAGGAUGGGCGAGGCCACCCGCCGAGUUUAAGCAUAUCAAUAAGC
This 52-nucleotide ribosomal RNA is filed under the name Dendrobium longicornu. RNAcentral describes it as "partial 26S ribosomal RNA". The record is from RNAcentral. RNAcentral also lists the same sequence under 2 other names. Lineage: Eukaryota; Viridiplantae; Streptophyta; Magnoliopsida; Asparagales; Orchidaceae.